CUUGCGCCAUGUGCGCACCCUAUUACUUGGAGACGAAGUAAUAAAAAAUAACAAUUAAUCAAAACAAUCUAAACCGUCCAUGAUAUUCCUAAUAAUAAUAAUAAGCAAAACUCAAAGUACUAGAUCGUUUGGAAUAGUGGGCCACGAUCAUGAGAACCCAUGGUGGGACUCACAUGACGAUCGGGUCCACUCCAAGAAAUCAAAACGUAGUCCACUAACUAGGGGUUCCUCCUUGGACGUCGUCAUCAAUCCAGAUCGAUGGUGGGGCCCUCCUUGUGUACGUGCGUACGCGGUGGGGGGGGCGUGCAUGUACACGAGAUGUCCCCAUCAAGUUUCCACUGAGAUCAGGAAAGCCCACUGAAUACCAAACUGCUCAAGCAAGGCCACCCUGAUUUUCCAAGCAAAGUUGUGUUAGAGUAGAAGGUGGACAGAAUCUUCCUAAUUGUAACACAACAGACAUCGAUUGGGGAAAGUAAAACCCCUUAGUUUUUAGAGGAUCCAACAUCAGGAUUUUAUUGCAGACAGCUGUACAUAUCAAUACAUUCAUCUUUGAAGGGAUGGCUGCUCUCCAAAAUUGAAAGAACGACUGGAAGUGACUUGUUUCUUGACACCAGGAUAUCAUAACAAGAGUGAACUGAAGAAUCCCCUUCUGGUUCUCUCCCAGAUCAUGCCAUCUUCUGUGACACUUGGACAUACACCUUUUCCGGCUCCCACUAAUUCAGUCAGCGAAUGCAGCUCAUCGUCCUGCAAGUUUCUAUUGAAUAUGGUGACCAUAUAACUUUACCUGCUUCUCAAUUGAAGAAUGAUGCACUCUUCCCCUUUUGAGUUGCAAGCCAGCAGAACAAAGGGGCAAACUUGCUAGCAAAAGGAAUAUUGCGAUGCCAUUUAUCCUCCCAGAAAUUGAGUCCAUCUCCUUUCGUAACUCAUUAUCGAAUACCAUUGGAGGAUAAAACUGCAUACAAACAGGCUGUAAGAUUUUAUUUUAUUUUCUUUUCAAACCAAAUUAAGCCAAAAGCAUGAUUGCAAAGGCAAAUGCAAAGCAAGCCAAUUCAAUUCAAAUACAGUUUGUAAUCAGACUUCUUCCAGUAAGAAUUCCUCCAUAAUGUUAGUAUUUCCCAAGUGAUUAAAUUACAUUAUCCAUAAUUUGGAUAAGACAAUCAAAGCAUGAGGAGCUAGAUGUAACCAUUAGUGUAUUCUCCUUGCUCAAAUCUAGGACUCUUGUAAAUAUCCGCUCAGUUUCAUCACAACUAGGUGGAGUUUCUUUAGGGGCCACAAUAAAUUGGAAUCUUCUAAACAAUUCUUACUUUAACACCAUGGGUACCAGUUAUUUUGAUGCCAAGAAAUCAUUUCUUGGUAAUGGUAACUACAGAUUAGAGGAUCUUGUACUAAUGUGGGUCAUGAUUGUACUUAAUGCAAGGGCACUUCUAAUCACUGUCUCCUAUCAUCAUAUUUAAAAGAAAAAAUAAAUAAA
Molecule: long non-coding RNA, 1471 nt
Organism: Magnolia sinica
Lineage: Eukaryota; Viridiplantae; Streptophyta; Magnoliopsida; Magnoliales; Magnoliaceae
Exons: 2
Source: RefSeq, a predicted model, not a curated record